This 509-nucleotide ribosomal RNA is filed under the name uncultured bacterium. RNAcentral's name for it is "bacterial SSU rRNA". It matches the Rfam family "Bacterial small subunit ribosomal RNA", at positions 8 to 518 of the family's 1533-position model. The record is from RNAcentral.
AGAGUUGAUCCUGGCUCAGGAUGAACGCUGGCGGCGUGCCUAACACAUGCAAGUCGAACGAAGCACUCUUGUUGAUCCUUCGGGUGAUACUUAGUGACUGAGUGGCGGACGGGUGAGUAACGCGUGGGUAACCUGCCCUGUACAGGGGGAUAACAGUCAGAAAUGACUGCUAAUACCGCAUAAGCGCAUGAAGGGACAUCCCUUUGUGUGAAAAAACUCCGGUGGUACAGGAUGGGCCCGCGUCUGAUUAGCUUGUUGGCGGGGUAAAGGCCCACCAAGGCGACGAUCAGUAGCCGGUCUGAGAGGAUGAACGGCCACAUUGGAACUGAGACACGGUCCAAACUCCUACGGGAGGCAGCAGUGGGGAAUAUUGCACAAUGGGGGGAACCCUGAUGCAGCAAACCGCCGCGUGAGUGAAGAAGUAUUUCGGUAUGUAAAGCUCUAUCAGCAGGGAAGAUAAUGACGGUACCUGACUAAGAAGCUCCGGCUAAAUACGUGCCAGCCGCAGC